UCCUGGCUGGGGGAAACCCUAGCCCUAGCCUUGCUUCUCUCGCGCCCUUCUGCGUUCUGGAAUUCCGUGCCUGGGUCUGGAGACAGGCUGACGGGGAGGAAGAGGGUGGGAACUAGAGCGCCGGGACCCGGAUCCCGGGGGACCGGAAGUAGCUGCCUCUCCCCGGCCCCGGCGCCGAAGGAAUGGAUUGCCCCGGGAUGCUCGGGCCUGGGCAGCGUCCUUUGCCCCUUUCCCAUCUCUCCCCGCCCGACCCUGCUCUUACUUCUCCCCCCAACCUCAUCUCGGUAGUCGCGAAGCAUCCAUCCCGGGAAGGCUCGCGGAGGUCGCGGGGCAUCAUGGUCCAGCGUCCGCGAGACCACUCCCAGCCUCCCGAGCGCUAGUCCUAGGCCCUUCGCUACUACGGGCGGGGGCUUGGUCAGCGCUUGUCUGCCAGCGCUGGGACAGAGGUCGCCGCUGUUCAGUUCUGUCACAGCAAAGCUGUGCGUUCUUCCGCACGCUGAGCCGCGGGACUUGUGUCCCCUUCCUAAUCAUAAUCCCCCCCGGUGCUAAAGUAAACUAAGUCCCCCGCCCACAGGACAGCCUCUGAACGCAGCCGUGUUCCCUACCCGAGUUUUCUCCGGGUUAACAAUCCUGUUAAAAGGCCGCCCACUCCACAGAGACGGCCCGUUUGGGGUUUGGAAGCGCAGGACCGUCACCACUGCCUGGGCUGGACACGUUACCCCCAGCCCCUAAUCUUUCCUCACUUAAGUGAGAAAAGUGAGGCUUAGAAUGGUCUUCCCAAUGUCCUACCUACAAUUAGCAGUGGAUAAGACAGAUAAGAGAUAGUUGGAGAGGAGAAUAAGUUCUGGAAAAAAUGGUAUCAUUAUUCUGUGCAUCCUCAUCAGGAAGGUUAAGAAAUGUUCCCUCUACUGUGAAGUGGACACUUCGGGAUGAUGAUGAUGAUGAUGCAUCAGACUCUAUGAUGACAAUCGUGGCCUGGUUUGUAUUAGGUUUGAAGAAAUUCCACUAUGACAAAAUUCUGUGGGAAUAAUAGAAAAGAAUCAGCCGAAGUGGAAAAUAUAGGAUCCAAGGAAAUGUUUCAAUGACCCCAGUGCCAACAAUUCCCGGAGAAGUUUAAGGAGGAAUCAGGGGAAGUGGGUAUAACCUUGGGGAAAUUGGUAUCCAAGUGAACUUGGGACGUGUUCCUGAUUUUGUUUCUUCUCUCUUGUCUUUUCAUU
Sarcophilus harrisii (Tasmanian devil) is the source of this 1217-nucleotide long non-coding RNA. RefSeq lists it as uncharacterized. Lineage: Eukaryota; Metazoa; Chordata; Mammalia; Dasyuromorphia; Dasyuridae. The record is from RefSeq and is a predicted model, not a curated record. The transcript is spliced from 3 exons.